UACGGUGAAUACGUUCCCGGACCUUGUACACACCGCCCGUCAAGCCAUGGAAGCCGGGUGUACCUAAAGUCGGUAACCGCAAGGAGCCGCCUAGGGUAAAAACUGGGUGACUGGGGCU
RNAcentral lists this ribosomal RNA (118 nucleotides) under uncultured bacterium. RNAcentral describes it as "partial 16S ribosomal RNA". It matches the Rfam family "Bacterial small subunit ribosomal RNA", at positions 1358 to 1482 of the family's 1533-position model. The record is from RNAcentral.